CCUACGGGCGGCAGCAGUGAGGAAUAUUGGUCAAUGGCCGAGAGGCUGAACCAGCCAAGUCGCGUGAGGGAAGACGGCCCUACGGGCUGUAAACCUCUUUUGUCGGGGAGCAAAGAGAGUCACGUGUGAAACAUUGAGAGUACCCGAAGAAAAAGCAUCGGCAAACUCCGUGCCAGCAGCCGCGGUAAUACGGAGGAUGCGAGGGUUAUCCGGAUGUAUUGGGUUUAAAGGGUGCGCAGGCGGAGGGGCAAGUCAGCGGUCAAAUCGCGGGGCUCAACCCCGUACUGCCGUUGAAACUGCAUCCCUUGAGUGCGCGAGAAGUAUGCGGAAUGCGUGGUGUAGCGGUGAAAUGCAUAGAUAUCACGCAGAACUCCGAUUGCGAAGGCAGCAUACCGGCGCGCAACUGACGCUCAUGCACGAAAGCGUGGGUAUCGAACAGGAUUAGAUACCCUUGUAGUC
This 459-nucleotide ribosomal RNA is filed under the name uncultured bacterium. RNAcentral's name for it is "partial 16S ribosomal RNA". It matches the Rfam family "Bacterial small subunit ribosomal RNA", at positions 338 to 795 of the family's 1533-position model. The record is from RNAcentral.